Molecule: transfer RNA, 72 nt
Organism: Camelus ferus (Wild Bactrian camel)
Lineage: Eukaryota; Metazoa; Chordata; Mammalia; Artiodactyla; Camelidae
Rfam family: tRNA
About the family: Transfer RNA (tRNA) molecules are approximately 80 nucleotides in length. Their secondary structure includes four short double-helical elements and three loops (D, anti-codon, and T loops).
Source: Rfam
GAGGGUAUAGCUCAGUGGUAGAGUGCAUGCCUAGCAUGUAUAAGGUCUUGGGUUCAAUCCCCAGUACCUCCA